This 450-nucleotide ribosomal RNA is filed under the name uncultured Glomus. RNAcentral's name for it is "SSU rRNA". It matches the Rfam family "Eukaryotic small subunit ribosomal RNA", at positions 569 to 1025 of the family's 1831-position model. Lineage: Eukaryota; Fungi; Glomeromycota; Glomeromycetes; Glomerales; Glomeraceae. The record is from RNAcentral.
AGCAGCCGCGGUAAUUCCAGCUCCAAUAGCGUAUAUUAAAGUUGCUGCAGUUAAAAAGCUCGUAGUUGAAUUUCGGGACCGAUAUAUCGGUCGUGCCUCGGUACGUACUGGUAUUUUCGGUUUCUACCUUCUGACGAACCUUGAUGUCAUUAAUUUGGUGUCUUGGGAAAUCAGGACUGUUACUUUGAAAAAUUAGAGUGUUUAAAGCAGGCUCACGCUUGAAUACAUUAGCAUGGAAUAAUGAAAUAGGACGUUUGAUUCUAUUUUGUUGGUUUCUAGGAUCGACGUAAUGAUUAAUAGGGAUAGUUGGGGGCAUUAGUAUUCAAUUGUCAGAGGUGAAAUUCUUGGAUUUAUUGAAGACUAACUACUGCGAAAGCAUUUGCCAAGGAUGUUUUCAUUAAUCAAGAACGAAAGUUAGGGGAUCGAAGACGAUCAGAUACCGUCGUAGUC